Molecule: long non-coding RNA, 516 nt
Filed under: Mytilus galloprovincialis (Mediterranean mussel)
Lineage: Eukaryota; Metazoa; Mollusca; Bivalvia; Mytilida; Mytilidae
Source: RNAcentral
AUUUUAUGUGUUUUUUUCUCAUUUAUUCUCAUUUAUAAUUAUUUAUAUUUUAUGGUUUGUUUUUUUGAGGAUUGUACUCAAUUCUAUUCAACCCCCGCCAAAAGAUAAAUCGGGAACCGGUAAAAGAAGUUUGGUGUUGAAGUAUGGUUUUCUAAUAAUAUGGGUAAUUUGGAUAACAUGAUUAAGUGAGGGCCCCCUUUUUCUGGAAAAAAAUCGGUUAAAUAUGAAGGGAAUCACUGAAGCAUGACUGGAGCUGACCCCCUCUUAGGCAGUCAGUGGGCCCCACUUGUGAAAAUUUCUGGAUCCGCCACUACAGCCUACCUUGACACAUUAUUCUGACUUCCAGCUGACCAGUCUUUGCCCUUACUCUUUAAUGCAACAACAAUUUUUAAUUCUUUGGUUUUUUAUCCACCCCGGGAUCAAAUCCCAAGACCUUUUGCACUUGAGGAAAGCAUGAAAUGGGCUGUUAAAGAAGAUUUAUCUGUCUGUUUGUCCAUCAUCAUCUCUCAUCCACAG